AGAGCGAACGCUGGCGGCAGGCCUAACACAUGCAAGUCGAGCGCCCGUAGCAAUACGGGAGCGGCAGACGGGAUAGUAACACGUGGGAACGCGCCCUUCGGUUCGGAAUAACUCAGGGAAACUUGAGCUAAUACCGAAUACACCCUUACGGGGAAAGAUUUAUUGCCGAAGGAACGGCCCGCGUCCGAUUAGCUAGUUGGUGAGGUAAUGGCUCACCAAGGCUACGAUCGGUAGCUGGUCUGAGAGGAUGACCAGCAUCACUGGGACUGAGACACGGCCCAGACUCCUACGGGAGGCAGCAGUGGGGAAUAUUGGACAAUGGGCGCAAGCCUGAUCCAGCCAUGCCGCGUGGAUGAUGAAGGCCUUAGGGUUGUAAAGUCCUUUUAACGGGGAAGAUAAUGACGGUACCCGUAGAAUAAGCCCCGGCUAACUUCGUGCCAGCAGCCGC
This 448-nucleotide ribosomal RNA is filed under the name uncultured bacterium. Its description in RNAcentral is "SSU rRNA". It matches the Rfam family "Bacterial small subunit ribosomal RNA", at positions 26 to 518 of the family's 1533-position model. The record is from RNAcentral.